RNAcentral lists this ribosomal RNA (429 nucleotides) under Actinomycetes bacterium. RNAcentral's name for it is "Actinobacteria bacterium partial 16S ribosomal RNA". It matches the Rfam family "Bacterial small subunit ribosomal RNA", at positions 355 to 776 of the family's 1533-position model. Lineage: Bacteria; Bacillati; Actinomycetota; Actinomycetes. The record is from RNAcentral.
UAGGGAAUCUUCCGCAAUGGGCGAAAGCCUGACGGAGCAACGCCGCGUGAGUGAUGAAGGUCUUCGGAUCGUAAAACUCUGUUAUUAGGGAAGAACAAAUGUGUAAGUAACUAUGCACGUCUUGACGGUACCUAAUCAGAAAGCCACGGCUAACUACGUGCCAGCAGCCGCGGUAAUACGUAGGUGGCAAGCGUUAUCCGGAAUUAUUGGGCGUAAAGCGCGCGUAGUCGGUUUUUUAAGUCUGAUGUGAAAGCCCACGGCUCAACCGUGGAGGGUCAUUGGAAACUGGAAAACUUGAGUGCAGAAGAGGAAAGUGGAAUUCCAUGUGUAGCGGUGAAAUGCGCAGAGAUAUGGAGGAACACCAGUGGCGAAGGCGACUUUCUGGUCUGUAACUGACGCUGAUGUGCGAAAGCGUGGGGAUCAAACAGG